Molecule: small RNA, 27 nt
Filed under: Bombyx mori (domestic silkworm)
Lineage: Eukaryota; Metazoa; Arthropoda; Insecta; Lepidoptera; Bombycidae
Description: ovarian small RNA-14961
Source: RNAcentral
CUGUAAAGUUUCAGUGUAAAGUGUGGU